GAUGAACGCUGGCGGCGUGCCUAAUACAUGCAAGUCGAGCGAACAGAUAAGGAGCUUGCUCCUUUGACGUUAGCGGCGGACGGGUGAGUGACACGUGGAUAACCUACCUAUAAGACUGGGAUAACUUCGGGAAACCGGAGCUAAUACCGGAUAACAUAUUGAACCGCAUGGUUCAAUAGUGAAAGGCGGCUUUGCUGUCACUUAUAGAUGGAUCCGCGCCGUAUUAGCUAGUUGGUAAGGUAACGGCUUACCAAGGCAACGAUACGUAGCCGACCUGAGAGGGUGAUCGGCCACACUGGAACUGGGACACGGUCCAGACUCCUACGGGAGGCAGCAGUAGGGAAUCUUCCGCAAUGGGCGAAAGCCUGACGGAGCAACGCCGCGUGAGUGAUGAAGGUCUUCGGAUCGUAAAACUCUGUUAUCAGGGAAGAACAAAUGUGUAAGUAACUGUGCACAUCUUGACGGUACCUGAUCAGAAAGCCACGGCUAACUACGUG
RNAcentral lists this ribosomal RNA (497 nucleotides) under uncultured bacterium. RNAcentral describes it as "partial 16S ribosomal RNA". It matches the Rfam family "Bacterial small subunit ribosomal RNA", at positions 28 to 507 of the family's 1533-position model. The record is from RNAcentral.